Molecule: ribosomal RNA, 1241 nt
Filed under: metagenome
Description: bacterial LSU rRNA
Rfam family: Bacterial large subunit ribosomal RNA
Source: RNAcentral
UGAAUACGAGACGCUAAGGCGUCGAAGUAGUGUAUAUCAGACUUCCAAGAAAAGCUUGCACUGUCAUAGAUAAAAAAUGCCUGUACCAUAACCGACACAGGUGGGUAGGUAGAGUAUACUAAGGGCGCGAGAUAACUCUCUCUAAGGAACUCGGCAAAAUAACUCCGUAACUUCGGGAGAAGGAGUGCCUUAUUUAUAAGGUUGCAAUAACAAGAUCCAAGCAACUGUUUAUCAAAAACACAGGUCUCCGCUAAGUCGUAAGACGAUGUAUGGGGGCUGACGCCUGCCCAGUGCCAGAAGGUUAAAGAAGUUGGUUAGCAAUUGCGAAGCUGAUAACUGAAGCCCUGGUGAACGGCGGCCGUAACUAUAACGGUCCUAUGGUAGCGAAAUUCCUUGUCGGGUAAGUUCCGACCCGCACGAAAGGCGUAAUGAUUUGGAUACUGUCUCGGAGAGGGGCUCGGUGAAAUAGACUUGUCUGUGAAGAUGCGGACUACCUGCACCAGGACAGAAAGACCCUAUGAAGCUUUACUGUAACUUGAAAUUGAAAUUGGACUUUAUUCGCGCAGCAUAGGUGGGAGGCGUUGAUUAUAAUCUUGCGGGAUUAUUGGAGCCAUCAGUGAGAUACCACUCUUGUAAUGUUAGAUUUCUAACUUUGAAUCAUUAUCUGGUCAAAGAACAGUUUCAGGCGGGCAGUUUGACUGGGGCGGUCGCCUCCUAAAUGGUAACGGAGGCGUACAAAGGUUUCCUCUGAACGGUUAGAAAUCGUAUCUAGAGUGUAAAGGCAUAAGGAAGCUUGACUGUGAGACCUACAAGUCGAGCAGGGACGAAAGUCGGUCUUAGUGAUCUGACGGUACUGAGUGGAAAGGCCGUCACUCAACGGAUAAAAGUUACUCUAAGGAUAACAGGCUGAUCUCCCCCCAGAGUUCACAUCGACGGGGAGGUUUGGCACCUCGAUGUCGGCUCAUCGCAUCCUGGGGCGGUAGUACGUCCCAAGGGUUGGGCUGUUCGCCCAUGAAAGCGGUACGCGAGCUGGGUUCAGAACGUCGUGAGACAGUUCGGUCCAUAUCCGGUGUAGGCGUUAGAAUAUUGAGAGGAGCCUUCUUUAGUACGAGAGGACCGAGAAGGACAUACCUCUGGUGUACCAGUUAUCGUGCCAACGGUAAACGCUGGGUAGCUAUGUAUGGAGUGGAUAACCGCUGAAAGCAUCUAAGUGGGAAGCCCACCUCAAGAUAAGUAUUCAC